UACGUAGGGGGCAAGCGUUGUCCGGAUUUACUGGGCGUAAAGAGCGUGUAGGCGGCCAGAUAGGUCUGUUGUGAAAACUCGAGGCUCAACCUCGAGACGCCGAUGGAAACCAUUUGGCUAGAGUCCGGAAGAGGAGAGUGGAAUUCCUGGUGUAGCGGUGAAAUGCGCAGAUAUCAGGAAGAACACCCGUGGCGAAAGCGGCUCUCUGGAACGGUACUGACGCUGAGACGCGAAAGCGUGGGGAGCGAACAGG
This 253-nucleotide ribosomal RNA is filed under the name uncultured bacterium. RNAcentral describes it as "partial 16S ribosomal RNA". It matches the Rfam family "Bacterial small subunit ribosomal RNA", at positions 524 to 776 of the family's 1533-position model. The record is from RNAcentral.